Dermacentor albipictus is the source of this 1470-nucleotide long non-coding RNA. RefSeq lists it as uncharacterized. The record is from RefSeq and is a predicted model, not a curated record. Lineage: Eukaryota; Metazoa; Arthropoda; Arachnida; Ixodida; Ixodidae.
CCCAUUGCUGACAGCGGUGAAUUCUUUCAAUGAAAAACAUGGCACAGAACGGCAAGAAGUUUUAUAGCGGACGUCGAAGCAGCUAGGCGCCUAGCGUUGCAGCAGUGGCUACGCGGCUGCCAGCGGAAGCGGCAAGGACCAAGUCGAUCCACACUACGUAGCACAGCCAUACUGGAGCACAUGAGCAUGAGUGCGCUCUCCAGCCCUGCCGUGCACUAGUUGUGCGUAGAUGUGUCCGUUGUGUAGCCCAUCGUGCUCCAAGCCAGAGGAUGACGUCGCUCGUGAUGCCACACGACUUCGAGAAUUACUCAAGGCACAUCUGUUAUUUGUGUGAUCUGUUGCUUCAAUUGACGUAUUGAAGUUUAGAGAAAUAAUAAAACACACAAAUGGAACGUCUGCAUGUUUUUUGCUUUACUUCGCACCGAAGCGAGAAAGAUGUACUUCCGCUUCAUCUUCUUGUUCCCACGGUCGUGUGGUCACUUGCGCAGGUACCAAAACUAUGCCAUUUUCUACUGUGUUCCAGCACAUGAUCAUGCUCUGUGAUCCGCUUGUUCUGCCUCACUAUUCGUGUAGCACUGAAUUACACCUUGUCAUGUGUCCUUGUGCACAGCACGCAAAAUCAUGCACUGCGCGAAAUGAUAACAGCUCGUGUGCAACGCCGGCAGCGAAAAUCCGCAUCACCGUGGGGGGGGAGGCGAGGAGAAAAAAAAAAAAAGAAAGUCAGAGCGGGGCCCGUGACGUAUGUGUCAUGGGAUCCUCGAGGUCCGGCAUGUGAGAACGCAGGGAAGGAAUUUCACCUGCAAAGGCUAAACGAGCCAAGUGGAGAGGGAGUCUUGCCAUGCAGUGGAGCCCGCCUGCUGAAAUCACGGGUUCUUGGCCCUGAAAUAUUUCUAUCUCGGCUAGUAUUAAUGAGCAGACUUGAAAAAUUUUUACGGCAGAACGCUUGCUAGAGGACGCGUAACAACCUCCAGUGAAUAACCAAAAUUUGCUAUGGGUCUGGCCCUUUAAAAAGUACACACUGGAAAAAAUUUGUAUACAGCAGAAAGUGCAACAGAUUCUUGUGUGUCAAAACUCUGAAUGACCUUUCUUUCUUUUUUGUAAUAAGGCAAGUUCUCAUGCCACACCUCACAAUGAAAUGUCUUGAGUAUAGUUUAGUAAAUAUAACACACACAGCUUUGGUUCAUUAUGUGUGUACGCAACAACAAAGGAUGGCCUCAUUCUGUUAAAAUCCCUUCCUGUUCUGGUCAUCUUGUUAGAAAUGAAGACUUGUAUGACAAGAGCAAAAAAAUAAGGUAGCAGACAAGCAAACACAUCCAGAAACAAGGCAGAAUUCUCAAGUUCACUACAUAAUAAUACUGUGAGCUUGGGGGUAUUUGUGAAUUGCAUUACUUUUGCAUUCAAAGCAAAAGAGGACACCCCUCCCUUCUUUACUGCAAGUUCAGAGAGAGAGAGAGAGAGAGAGGCAAGAAA